RNAcentral lists this ribosomal RNA (222 nucleotides) under uncultured bacterium. RNAcentral's name for it is "partial 16S ribosomal RNA". It matches the Rfam family "Bacterial small subunit ribosomal RNA", at positions 524 to 744 of the family's 1533-position model. The record is from RNAcentral.
UACGUAGGGUGCGAGCGUUGUCCGGAAUUAUUGGGCGUAAAGAGCUCGUAGGCGGUGUGUCACGUCGUUCGUGAAAACCUGCAGCUUAACUGUGGGCGUGCGGUCGAUACGGGCAUCACUGGAGUUCGGCAGGGGAGACUGGAAUUCCUGGUGUAGCGGUGAAAUGCGCAGAUAUCAGGAGGAACACCGGUGGCGAAGGCGGGUCUCUGGGCCGAUACUGAC